AUGCACGCUGGCGGCGUGCCUCAUACCUGCAAGUCGAGCGAACAGACGAGGAGCUUGCUCCUCUGACGUUAGCGGCGGACGGGUGAGUAACACGUGGAUAACCUACCUAUAAGACUGGGAUAACUUCGGGAAACCGGAGCUAAUACCGGAUAAUAUAUUGAACCGCAUGGUUCAAUAGUGAAAGACGGUUUUGCUGUCACUUAUAGAUGGAUCCGCGCCGCAUUAGCUAGUUGGUAAGGUAACGGCUUACCAAGGCAACGAUGCGUAGCCGACCUGAGAGGGUGAUCGGCCACACUGGAACUGAGACACGGUCCAGACUCCUACGGGAGGCAGCAGUAGGGAAUCUUCCGCAAUGGGCGAAAGCCUGACGGAGCAACGCCGCGUGAGUGAUGAAGGUCUUCGGAUCGUAAAACUCUGUUAUUAGGGAAGAACAAAUGUGUAAGUAACUAUGCACGUCUUGACGGUACCUAAUCAGAAAGCCACGGCUAACUACGUG
RNAcentral lists this ribosomal RNA (496 nucleotides) under uncultured bacterium. RNAcentral's name for it is "partial 16S ribosomal RNA". It matches the Rfam family "Bacterial small subunit ribosomal RNA", at positions 29 to 507 of the family's 1533-position model. The record is from RNAcentral.